RNAcentral lists this ribosomal RNA (294 nucleotides) under uncultured bacterium. Its description in RNAcentral is "partial 16S ribosomal RNA". It matches the Rfam family "Archaeal small subunit ribosomal RNA", at positions 454 to 747 of the family's 1478-position model. The record is from RNAcentral.
GUUGCCAGCCGCCGCGGUAAUACCGGCAGCCCGAGUGAUGGCCGAUCUUAUUGGGCCUAAAGCGUCCGUAGCUGGCCGCGCAAGUCCAUCGGGAAAUCCACCCGCUCAACAGGUGGGCGCCCGGUGGAAACUGUGCGGCUUGGGACCGGAAGGCGCGACGGGUACGUCCGGGGUAGGAGUGAAAUCCCGUAAUCCUGGACGGACCGCCGAUGGCGAAAGCACGUCGCGAGAACGGAUCCGACAGUGAGGGACGAAAGCCAGGGUCUCCAACCGGAUUAGAAACCCGAGUAGUCC